CAAAUUCUUCCUAUUCGGGAAGGAUGAGAAGCUUCGAACAAGGUUCGAUUCGAGCGUUAGCGAGAAAGCGUUGCCGCAGGCAACGACCCGAAGGGCGAAGCGCGCAGCGCUGAGUAAUCCUUCCCCCACCACCA
Molecule: small RNA, 134 nt
Filed under: uncultured Citrobacter sp.
Lineage: Bacteria; Pseudomonadati; Pseudomonadota; Gammaproteobacteria; Enterobacterales; Enterobacteriaceae
Description: RtT
Rfam family: RtT RNA
About the family: This family represents a bacterial cis-regulatory element known as RtT RNA. The exact function of RtT is unknown although it is thought that it may be involved in changing the cellular response in relation to amino acid starvation.
Source: RNAcentral